CGGGACACGUGGUAUCCUGUCUGAAUAUGGGGGGACCAUCCUCCAAGGCUAAAUACUCCUGACUGACCGAUAGUGAACCAGUACCGUGAGGGAAAGGCGAAAAGAACCCCGGCGAGGGGAGUGAAAAAGAACCUGAAACCGUGUACGUACAAGCAGUGGGAGCACGCUUAGGCGUGUGACUGCGUACCUUUUGUAUAAUGGGUCAGCGACUUAUAUUCUGUAGCAAGGUUAACCGAAUAGGGGAGCCGAAGGGAAACCGAGUCUUAACUGGGCGUUAAGUUGCAGGGUAUAGACCCGAAACCCGGUGAUCUAGCCAUGGGCAGGUUGAAGGUUGGGUAACACUAACUGGAGGACCGAACCGACUAAUGUUGAAAAAUUAGCGGAUGACUUGUGGCUGGGGGUGAAAGGCCAAUCAAACCGGGAGAUAGCUGGUUCUCCCCGAAAGCUAUUUAGGUAGCGCCUCGUGAAUUCAUCUCCGGGGGUAGAGCACUGUUUCGGCAAGGGGGUCAUCCCGACUUACCAACCCGAUGCAAACUGCGAAUACCGGAGAAUGUUAUCACGGGAGACACACGGCGGGUGCUAACGUCCGUCGUGAAGAGGGAAACAACCCAGACCGCCAGCUAAGGUCCCAAAGUCAUGGUUAAGUGGGAAACGAUGUGGGAAGGCCCAGACAGCCAGGAUGUUGGCUUAGAAGCAGCCAUCAUUUAAAGAAAGCGUAAUAGCUCACUGGUCGAGUCGGCCUGCGCGGAAGAUGUAACGGGGCUAAACCAUGCACCGAAGCUGCGGCAGCGACGCUGAUGCGUUGUUGGGUAGGGGAGCGUUCUGUAAGCCUGUGAAGGUGUGCUGUGAGGCAUGCUGGAGGUAUCAGAAGUGCGAAUGCUGACAUAAGUAACGAUAAAGCGGGUGAAAAGCCCGCUCGCCGGAAGACCAAGGGUUCCUGUCCAACGUUAAUCGGGGCAGGGUGAGUCGACCCCUAAGGCGAGGCCGAAAGGCGUAGUCGAUGGGAAACAGGUUAAUAUUCCUGUACUUGGUGUUACUGCGAAGGGGGGACGGAGAAGGCUAUGUUGGCCGGGCGACGGUUGUCCCGGUUUAAGCGUGUAGGCUGGUUUUCCAGGCAAAUCCGGAAAAUCAAGGCUGAGGCGUGAUGACGAGGCACUACGGUGCUGAAGCAACAAAUGCCCUGCUUCCAGGAAAAGCCUCUAAGCAUCAGGUAACAUCAAAUCGUACCCCAAACCGACACAGGUGGUCAGGUAGAGAAUACCAAGGCGCUUGAGAGAACUCGGGUGAAGGAACUAGGCAAAAUGGUGCCGUAACUUCGGGAGAAGGCACGCUGAUAUGUAGGUGAAGCGACUUGCUCGUGGAGCUGAAAUCAGUCGAAGAUACCAGCUGGCUGCAACUGUUUAUUAAAAACACAGCACUGUGCAAACACGAAAGUGGACGUAUACGGUGUGACGCCUGCCCGGUGCCGGAAGGUUAAUUGAUGGGGUCAGCGCAAGCGAAGCUCUUGAUCGAAGCCCCGGUAAACGGCGGCCGUAACUAUAACGGUCCUAAGGUAGCGAAAUUCCUUGUCGGGUAAGUUCCGACCUGCACGAAUGGCGUAAUGAUGGCCAGGCUGUCUCCACCCGAGACUCAGUGAAAUUGAACUCGCUGUGAAGAUGCAGUGUACCCGCGGCAAGACGGAAAGACCCCGUGAACCUUUACUAUAGCUUGACACUGAACAUUGAGCCUUGAUGUGUAGGAUAGGUGGGAGGCUUUGAAGUGUGGACGCCAGUCUGCAUGGAGCCGGCCUUGAAAUACCACCCUUUAAUGUUUGAUGUUCUAACGUUGACCCGUGAUCCGGGUUGCGGACAGUGUCUGGUGGGUAGUUUGACUGGGGCGGUCUCCUCCUAAAGAGUAACGGAGGAGCACGAAGGUUGGCUAAUCCUGGUCGGACAUCAGGAGGUUAGUGCAAUGGCAUAAGCCAGCUUGACUGCGAGCGUGACGGCGCGAGCAGGUGCGAAAGCAGGUCAUAGUGAUCCGGUGGUUCUGAAUGGAAGGGCCAUCGCUCAACGGAUAAAAGGUACUCCGGGGAUAACAGGCUGAUACCGCCCAAGAGUUCAUAUCGACGGCGGUGUUUGGCACCUCGAUGUCGGCUCAUCACAUCCUGGGGCUGAAGUAGGUCCCAAGGGUAUGGCUGUUCGCCAUUUAAAGUGGUACGCGAGCUGGGUUUAGAACGUCGUGAGACAGUU
Molecule: ribosomal RNA, 2228 nt
Filed under: Escherichia coli
Lineage: Bacteria; Pseudomonadati; Pseudomonadota; Gammaproteobacteria; Enterobacterales; Enterobacteriaceae
Description: partial 23S ribosomal RNA
Rfam family: Bacterial large subunit ribosomal RNA
Source: RNAcentral